Molecule: ribosomal RNA, 253 nt
Filed under: uncultured bacterium
Lineage: Bacteria
Description: partial 16S ribosomal RNA
Rfam family: Bacterial small subunit ribosomal RNA
Source: RNAcentral
UACGGAGGGUGCAAGCGUUAUCCGGAUUCACUGGGUUUAAAGGGUGCGUAGGUGGGUCUGUAAGUCAGUGGUGAAAUCUCUAUGCUUAACAUGGAAACUGCCAUUGAUACUAUAGGUCUUGAAUUUUCUGGAGGUGAGCGGAAUAUGUCAUGUAGCGGUGAAAUGCUUAGAUAUGACAUAGAACACCAAUUGCGAAGGCAGCUCACUGCAGGAACAUUGACACUGAGGCACGAAAGCGUGGGGAUCAAACAGG